AUUGAUUUCGAUUUUUUCAAAUCAGCCAGAGUAAAGCACUUCCUUUUUAUUCCGAUGCAGCCUUUCCAAUGAUUUUGCAGUUUCAGUCCACCAUUUCUAAAUGGGAUCAUCAACACCCAUUACAGACAUUACUCCAUGGAUUCCUACCAACCUCCAAGUGUCUUCAACUUCUGGACAACUAAGUAAAUAGUGGAGGUUCAGAUUUCGAUAACGGUUUGGCAACUGCUCUAUUGGGAGAUGGAAGAACAGAUAAGCUAUGUCACAUGCACUAGAGACUGAAUAGCAACCUGACUUCUCUCUUGACCAAGUAUUUUCUGGCUGAAAUCGAGGGACCCGAGCAAAAAUCUGAUUCAGAGGCUGACAAAGGACUGCAGAUGCUGUUGGAUUCUGACCUCCCUGCACUCGAAGUGGAUUUUCUAGAGCUACAGAACUUCAAAUGACGCGCUCUUAAUUGCGUUGGAAAGUAGAAAUCCAAGGCUUUUCCGCAAUAUAUAAUAGUCCACACUUUACGCGAGUUUUGACGACGUAAAAUGGCGUCAAAACGCCAGUUCUCUGCCCUUUUCUGGCGUCAAAACGUCAGAACUGACAUAAAAGUUGGAGUUAAACGCCCAAACUGGCACCAAAGCUGGUGUUUAACUCCAAGGAAGACCUCUACACGUGAAAGCUUCAAUGCUCAGCCCAAGCACACACCAAGUAGGCCCGGAAGUAGAUUUCUGCAUCACUUACUUAUUUCUGUAAACCCUAGUAACCAGUUUAGUAUAAAUAGAACUUUUUACUAUUGUAUUUUCAUCUUGGAAUCUUGGCAUCUAUCUUUGAUCAGUUUAUGCGAUCUCAGACAUUGGGGGCUAGCCUCACGGCCAUGCCUAGACCUUGUUCUUAUGUAUUUUCAACGGUGGAGUUUUUACACACCAUAGAUUAAGGUGUGGAGCUCUGUUGUUCCUCGAGUAUUAAUGCAAAGUACUAUUAUUUUCUAUUCAAUUCAUGCUUAUUAUCAUUCUAAGAUAUUCGCUUGCACUUCAACAUGAUGAAUGUGAUGAUCUGUGACACUCAUCAUUAUUCUCAACCUAUGAACGCGUGCCUGACAACCACUUCCGUUCUACCUUAGAUCGAGCGUAUAUCUCUUAGCCUCCAUUCCGAAAGAUCGGAGACUUCGUGGUAUAAGCUAGAAUUAUUGGCAGCCAUUCCUGAGAUCUGAAAAAUCUAAACUUUGUCUGUGGUAUUCCGAAUAGGAUCUAGGAAGGGAUGACUGUGACGAGCUUCAAACUCGCGAGUGUUGGGCGUAGUGACAGACGCAAAAGGAUCACUGGAUUCUAUUCCAAUAUGAUCGAGAACCGACAGAUGAUUAGCCGUGCGGUGACAGCGCAUUUGGACCAUUUUCACUGAGAAGAUAGGAAGUAGCCAUUGACAACGGUGAUGCCCAACAUACAGCUUGCCAUGGAAAGGAGUAAGAAGGAUUGGAUGAAGGCAGUAGGAAAGCAGAGAUUCAAGAGGGAUAAAGCAUCUCCAUACACUUAUCUGAAAUUCCCAUCUAUGAUUUACAUAAGUAUUUUUAUCUUUAUUUUAUGUUUAUUUAUCUUUUAAUUAUUAAACUCCAUAACCAUUUGAAUCUGCCUGACUGAGAUUUACAAGGUGACCAUAGCUUGCUUCAAGCCGACAAUCUCCGUGGGAUCGACCCUUACUCACGUAAGGUUUAUUACUUGGACGACCCAGUGCACUUGCUGGUUAGUUGUGCAAAGUUGUGAAAAAGAGUUGAGAUUACAAUUGUGCAUACCAAGUUGUUGGCGCCAUUGUGUAUCACAAUUUCGUGCACCAAGUUUUUGGCGCCGUUGCCGGGGAUUGUUCGAGUUUGGACAA
Arachis stenosperma is the source of this 1854-nucleotide long non-coding RNA. RefSeq lists it as uncharacterized. NCBI's taxonomy places the organism in Eukaryota, Viridiplantae, Streptophyta, Magnoliopsida, Fabales, Fabaceae. The transcript is spliced from 3 exons. The record is from RefSeq and is a predicted model, not a curated record.